UAACCAAAUAAGACUAAGAUCAAGCACUUAUCUGUGUUGAACCUGAGUUCUGACUCAAGGUGAUGCUGAAUAUAGAAUACUGAAUAUGAGCCCUGCUUUGUUUCGAAAAUUAAUUUUAAAUGAUACAGUGGUAUGGUGUCCUGUCAAUUGUUUGGGUACAUAUUUCUCUACUGAUGUACAUUAAUUUAUUUUAAUUAUGCACUUCAAGAACUGAUAAAGGUUAAAAAAAAGACUACAAGUUGAUUUCAUCCUUCUCUGUCUCAAGCUUAUCCUCAUUUAUGUUAAUUGAAACAAGUUGAGGGUAUACUGAGCCUGAAACCUUGAGUAUAAUGAGAACAAUAACCACAAGUGUUAGUUGUACCUUGAUAUAUCUGGUUUAUUUUAGAUCUGUUAUAUUGGUGUUGUUAGAUGAUUUAUGUUAUCUUUAUUGUACAUGACUGUUUAUGUUGUAAUGUGGUACUAAAUUGUUGAGUAAUUUAUGAGAUAUUGACCAAGUAAAUGUUUUUAGUGUAUAUUCAAUGCUACCAGGUUUAUACAUUUAUAAUUAUGUUAUCUACUACAAUAAAUGUAAUGAUUAAAUCAUAUUAAAACCACCCUUGAUAAUAACCUACUUGGUUUAUCAGAAGAAUAUAUUCAAUGUUCAUACGAAUUUCAUCACCUUUGCUCAAAAACUCAAGUUUUCUUACCUCUUUUUGUGAAGUCCAUCUUCUCACAAAUUUGUAAAUCAUUGACCAUUUAACAUAUCCUGUGAAAGUUUUAGAGCAAUAUUCCACUUUCAAAUAUUGUCUGUUUAAAAAUCAAAUAUUGUCUGUUUAAAAAUCAAAUAUUGUCUGUUUAAAAAAAAGUGUCUAAAUGUUGCCCUAAUGUUACGAGUGCACUUCCGAAGGUUUUGCAAUUACAUUUUUAGCUCGACUAUUCGAAGAAUAUGGAGAGCUAUACUACUCACCCAAGCGUCGGCGUAGGCGUCACCCCUUGGUUAAGGUCUUGCAUGUUAGCACACAUAGGUUAAUAUCUCAGCAACUACUUGAUGUAUUGCAUUGAGACUUUAUACAAUGGUAUUCAACCACCCAAACUCAUUGAAUAACAAAGUUAGAUAAUUGUAUUUUGCAAAUAAUGGCCCUUUAUUAUUACACUUAAAAAUUCUGGUUAAAAUUUUGCAUGUAAUCACAUUUAUGUUAAUAUCUCAGCACAUUAUGUAUUGCAUUGAAAUCUAAUCUAACAGUGAUCCAUGCAUUCGCCAAAACUUUUUAAUCGUUACACUGAAAAGAGGCGGAAUAGUCGAGCGCGCUGUCUCUGUGACAGCUCUUGUUAAAUAAAUCCUUAGGCAUGUAAAUUACAACAUGCAGUUUAUAUUUUAUGAUAAUAUUGAUAACAAAUGAAAUUAAGGUACAUUAAAAUAAUAACUCCAAAAUUAACAUGUAAUAAUUGAUAUAUAUCUGUUUAAAAUGUUCUUGCAUUAAAGUUUAGUAAGUGUAGAAACUACUUUUAAGAAAAUAAAUAAUUUUGAGUUUUAAAGCAUUUCAUCGCAUGUAGUUAUUUAAAGUUUUAAUCUUAUUUAUUAUACAACAAUUGUGAAACAUGUUACAUAACAUUAUAUUAAUCACACUCGUGAUGUAACACGAGAGUGUGGUAUUUUGUUGUGGUGGAAACAGGAUCCUGGAGGAAAUCCACUUGUCCGGCUUGGUGACCAUGCACCCAGGACAGGAAUCGAACCUGGGCCGCCUAGGUGAGAAGCGAGUGCACUUACCACUGCUCUUACCCAACAUCCAAGAUUACAGAAAGAAGUCCAAGGAAGAUAAUCAAGAAAAUAAGAAAAUCAGUUUUUUUGCCACUCCUGUACAAUUCGGAAAAUAAAUUGUUCUGAUUCUUAUUGGGCCAAGGUGAUGCUUUGUGCAAUGGUAUCAUGUGACUAGUGACUCCCUUCAUUGUUUGCGGUCAUGAAUAUAUUUAUAAGGGUGGUAUGGCGUCAUGUCAAUUGUUUGAUCACUUUAAUAUUAAAUAUACAGUAAGCUCAUUACCUGUAUAUUUAAUAUGUGCUGAGCAACCUAAACUGAUAUGGGCUUCAUUUUCUUCAUUAAUGUGAAUACAUUUUGGUAGGCUAGGAUGAUUUAGCCCGUAUCAUGGCAGAUUAUUCUUGCAAUCUUUGUGUGUCUAAAAUGUAAAAUAUAUCUUCUUUCAACUCAUUUAUUACUUUCAAUUAUUGUAUUGUAUAUAAAUUGAUCCUUAUUUGAACAUAUAGGAACAUCAUUUAUUAUAAAACAUCAAUUGCUUUGUCUUUGUAAGGAAUAAAUUAAAUUAAUUGAAACCUUAAACUUUCCCAUUUGUUCAUCAACUGGUUUAAAUUAAGGAACUGGUUGACAGGGCCUACAUACAUUAACAAUUAUUGUUUGUACUACAUAACACUGUAUUUUAAUGUCCUUUGAAGGUUUUUCAUGGACUUGUAUAGAUCAAACAUUGAGUGUAUCAUACGCUUAUAUAGAUCCAAUUCUUUAAUGAGUUUCAUACACUUAUAUUAUAAAUCCAAUCUCUGAAUGUGUUUCAUACCCUUGUAUAGAUCUAUGGUUUAUUGUGCUUCAUACACAUGUAUAGGUCCAAUCUCUGAAUGUGUUUCAUACACUUGUAUUGUAGAUCCCAUAGUUGAAUGUGUUUCAUACCCUUGUAUGGGUCUAUGGUUUAUUGUGCUUCAUACACAUGUAUAGGUCCAAUCUCUGAAUGUGUUUCAUACACUGGUAUUGUAGAUCCCAUAGUUGAAUGUGUUUCAUACACUUUUAUAGGUCCAAUCUUUGAAGGUGUUUCAUACAACUUGUAUUAUAGAUCCAACGUUGAAUGUGUUACAUAUGCUUGUACAGGUUCUAUCUUUGAAUGUGUUUCAUACACUUGUAUGGGUCCAACGUUGAAUGUGUUACAUAUGCUUGUACAGGUUCUAUCUUUGAAUGUGUUUCAUACACUUGUAUAGGUCCAAUCUCUGAAUGUGUUUCAUACACUUGUAUGGGUCCAAUCUCUGAAUGUGUUUCAUACACUUGUAUAGGUCCAAUCUCUGAAUGUGUUUCAUACACUUGUAUGGGUCCAAUCUCUGAAUGUGUUUCAUACACUUGUAUAGGUCCAAUCUCUGAAUGUGUUUCAUACACUUGUAUGGGUCCAACAUUGAAUGUGUUACAUAUGCUUGUAUAGGUUCUAUCUUUGAAUGUGUUUCAUACACUUGUAUGGGUCCAACGUUGAAUGUGUUACAUAUGCUUGUACAGGUUCUAUCUUUGAAUGUGUUUCAUACACUUGUGCAGAUCCAAUAUUGAAAAUUUGUGCAAUUGAUGCGUUUGUGAUCUCUAUUGUUUUCAUGAACUUAUAGUUAUUGUUUAUUUAUUUCAUCUUUAGCUCAACUUUUGGAAGAAUAAGGAGAGCUAUACUACUCAACCUAGUGUCACUGUCGACGUCACUCUGUCGCUUCACACUUUUGUUAAGGUUUUGCAUGUAAGCACCUUCCAAGUCAUUAUCUCAGGAAAUGCAUCAUGUAUUGCAUUGAAAUUAAGAUAUGAGUCCCCAAUUAUCCAACCUAAUUAGUUAUUCAUGUAAAAUAACUCUAUCUUGCAUAUAAUGCAAAUUAUUGCCCUUUAGUAUUGGUCUGAAAUUCUGGUUAUGGUUUUGCAUGAAACCACACAUAGGUUAAUAUGUCAGCAACUGCUUGAUGUACUGCAUUGGAAAUUUAUACAAAGGUACUCAACCAUCUAUCCUACAUGUACUUGAAUAAUUAAGUUUGGUCACCCUGUUUUGCAUAGAGUGCAUAUUAUGGUCCUUUAUUAUUUUAUUAAUAUCCUGGUUAAAGUUGUGCAUGUUACCACAUUUAAGUCAAUAUCUCAGCAAAUGCAUAUGUAUUGCAUUGACACUUUAUAUAAAGGCUCCCAACCAUCCAACCUUCUUAAAUAACCAAGUUAGAUAACUCAAUCUUGCAUAUAAUAUGAAUUUUUCCCCUUUCUUGUUUGAAUCAGAAAUUCUGGUUAAUGUUUUGCAUGAAAGCACAUAUAAAACUUUGCGACUACUUCAUGUAUUGCUUUGAAACUUUAUACAAUUAUGUAUGAUAACUCUAUCUUGCAUAUUAUGCAAAUUUUGCCCCUUUAUAUAUUUAACUGGUCAAGACUUUACAUUUUAUCUCAUUUUACAGUGAUCCAUGCACGUUUCACUAAAGCUUAAAAUCCUUAAAAAUAAAAGCAGAAAGUCGAGCCCUAUUACAACUCUUGUUUUGUUGUUGUUGUUUUUUAUACUUUUUUUACUUUUUAUUUGCUGAAGUUUGUUUAAUAUUAACAAUUUACAAUGUUAUUGUUAUGGCACAAAUGUACAUGUAGGUCAUAUUUGUUUUGAUAUGCAGUAAAUACAUUACACAGUUAUACCUUA
Mya arenaria is the source of this 4383-nucleotide long non-coding RNA. RefSeq lists it as uncharacterized. The record is from RefSeq and is a predicted model, not a curated record. The transcript has 2 exons. NCBI's taxonomy places the organism in Eukaryota, Metazoa, Mollusca, Bivalvia, Myida, Myidae.